This 448-nucleotide ribosomal RNA is filed under the name uncultured bacterium. RNAcentral describes it as "bacterial SSU rRNA". It matches the Rfam family "Bacterial small subunit ribosomal RNA", at positions 29 to 521 of the family's 1533-position model. The record is from RNAcentral.
AGCGAACGCUGGCGGCAGGCCUAACACAUGCAAGUCGAACGAACCCUUCGGGGUUAGUGGCGGACGGGUGAGUAACACGUGGGAACGUACCUUUAGGUUCGGAACAACACAGGGGAAACUUGUGCUAAUGCCGAAUGUGCCCUUCGGGGGAAAGAUUUAUCGCCUUUAGAGCGGCCCGCGUCUGAUUAGCUUGUUGGUGAGGUAAAGGCUCACCAAGGCUUCGAUCAGUAGCUGGUCUGAAGAGGAUGAUCAGCCACACUGGGACUGAGACACGGCCCAGACUCCUACGGGAGGCAGCAGUGGGAAUCUUGCGCAAUGGGCGAAAGCCUGACGCAGCCAUGCCGCGUGAAUGAUGAAGGUCUUAGGAUUGUAAAAUUCUUUCACCGGGGAAGAUAAUGACGGUACCCGGAGAAGAAGCCCCGGCUAACUUCGUGCCAGCAGCCGCGGU